RNAcentral lists this ribosomal RNA (244 nucleotides) under uncultured bacterium. Its description in RNAcentral is "partial 16S ribosomal RNA". It matches the Rfam family "Bacterial small subunit ribosomal RNA", at positions 87 to 334 of the family's 1533-position model. The record is from RNAcentral.
UAUGACGAGUGGCGGACGGGUGAGUAAUGCUUGGGAAUCUAGCUUAUGGAGGGGGAUAACUACGGGAAACUGUAGCUAAUACCGCGUAGUAUCGGAAGAUGAAAGUGUGGGACCUUCGGGCCACAUGCCAUAGGAUGAGCCCAAGUGGGAUUAGGUAGUUGGUGAGGUAACGGCUCACCAAACCUUCGAUGGAUAGGGGUUCUGAGAGGAAGGUCCCCCACAUUGGAACUGAGACACGGUCCAA